UACGUAGGGUGCAAGCGUUGUCCGGCAUUAUUGGGCGUAAAGAGCUCGUAGGCGGUUUGUUGCGUCGGCUGUGAAAUCCCGAGGCUCAACCUCGGGUCUGCAGUCGAUACGAGCAAACUAGAGUGUUGCAGGGGAGACUGGAAUUCCUGGUGUAGCGGUGAAAUGUGUAGAGAUCGGGAGGAACACCGGUGGCGAAGGCGGGUCUCUGGGCAUUUCCUGACGCUGAGGCGCGAAAGCGUGGGGAGCAAACGGG
This 253-nucleotide ribosomal RNA is filed under the name uncultured bacterium. Its description in RNAcentral is "partial 16S ribosomal RNA". It matches the Rfam family "Bacterial small subunit ribosomal RNA", at positions 524 to 776 of the family's 1533-position model. The record is from RNAcentral.